UCUUAUUGAACCUAAAAAUGUUGCUGAGACUUUGUAGGAUGCAGAUUGGAUCAAUGCUAUGCAGGAGGAAUUCAACUGAUUUGAAAGAAGUCAAGUUUGGCAUCUAGCUCGAAGACCCAAAGAAGAUAAGUCAUUGGUACCAAAUGGGUCUUCAGGAACAAACUUGACGAGGAUGGAACUGUUACAAGAAACAAGGCACGGCUGGUGGUUCAAUUCUACAGUCAAGAGGAAGGCAUUGACUAUGAUGAGACUAUUGCUCCAGUUGCUAGAUUAGAAACAAUCAGACUCCUCAUUGCCUUUGCAGCACAUAUGGAAUUCACUCUCCAUCAGAAGGAUGUCAAAAGUGCCUUCCUAAAUGGCUACCUCAAGGAAGAAGUGUUUGUAAAACAACCUCCNNNNNNNNNNNNNNNNNNNNNNNNNNNNNNNNNNNNNNNNNNNNNNNNNNNNNNNGUGCCUUCCUAAAUGGCUACCUCAAGCAAGAAGUGUUUGUAAAACAACCUCCAGGAUUUGAAAACAAGGAAUGUCCUGAGCAUGUUUACAAGCUGGACAAGGCUCUAUAUGGGCUCAAACAGGCUCCAAGAGCGUGGUAUGAGCGACUAUCAAAAUUCCUUCUAGAGCAUGGGCACAAAAGAGGUAAAAUUGACAACACCUUUUUCCUAAAGAAAAAAGGUAAAGACCUUCUUGUUGUUCAAAUAUAUGUUGAUGACAUAAUAUUUUAGGCUACGACUAAAAAACUGAGUAAGGACUUUGCAAAACUAAUGGGGAGUGAGUUUGAAAAUGAGUAUGAUGGGUGAAUUAAACUUCUUCCUAGGCCUGCAGAUCAAACAAAGUCCACAUGGGACCAUGAUCCACCAACAGAAGUACACAAGAGAACUAAUCAAAAUGUUUAAAAUGGAGGAUGCUAAAGAAAUAGAUACACCUAUUGUAACUGCCACUAAAUUAGAUAUUGAUGAACUUUGUUCAUAAGUUGAUAGGGGUAUGGUUAGUUCACUCUUGUAUCUUACUGCUAGCAGACCUGACAUUGUCUUCAGUGUAGGGCAUUGUGCUCGUUUCCAGGGAAUUCCAAAGAAGUCACAUUUGACAUCUGUCAAGAGGAUUUUGAGAUAUCUGAAAGGCACCACUGAUUUGUGUCUUUGGUAUCCCAAAGGUAGUAACUUUGACCUAGUAGGAUUUGCUGAUGACGAUUAUGCAGGUUACUUGGUGGACAGGAAGAGUACUUCAAGUAUGACACAUUUCCUAGGGUCUUGUCUAGUGUCGUGCGCUACCAAAAAGAAAAACUCAGUAGCCCUAUUAUGAGCAUAUGAUUUUUGACCGGUCAAAACCAACUCCUACAACACUGUAAAGUUUAGGAUUUUCUCUUUUAAAAUAUUAGGAUUUUAAUUUUUGGACAUUAAUUGCAUAU
This 1402-nucleotide long non-coding RNA is filed under the name Nicotiana benthamiana. RNAcentral describes it as "long non-coding RNA (NBEN_LNC006814)". Lineage: Eukaryota; Viridiplantae; Streptophyta; Magnoliopsida; Solanales; Solanaceae. The record is from RNAcentral.